Molecule: long non-coding RNA, 530 nt
Filed under: Bos indicus x Bos taurus (hybrid cattle)
Lineage: Eukaryota; Metazoa; Chordata; Mammalia; Artiodactyla; Bovidae
Description: lncRNA (ENSBIXG00005027311.1)
Source: RNAcentral
GGUAACCAUAUGUCUGAAGGAGCCAGCAGAUCUGGAAACAAGGAGAAGACAUUCCGUUGAAGGGUCAGUCCAGAGAGGAACCUAGAAACUGGCCUGGAAGCGGAGUCUACAGGUAUUGAGAGGAGUUUUCCGAGCACAUUGGCAUGCCAAAUAGAAAAAGCAGACGCUCUGGAGGGAUGAGAAGAUAAGGAGUGACCAGAGGGGCACAAAGAGCAAGAGAAACUGUGAUUUGCUGCAGAUUCCGGAAUCCAUCUUCCCACCGUGGGACAGGACUUGUCACAAAUAGCUUGGAUUUAUGGAUGCGCUUCUGCUGCAGAAAUCGUUUCACCUUUUGAGGUUUUCUAUAAGAAUUUCAACUUCCUGGUUUCCACUUCUGAGAUCCACCUUUUAAAAAAGUAAAUCAUUAAUUGAUCUUCCGGUGUUUGGACCAUGCCCAUGGCAGCAUUGUGGAGCAUGUAGGUGAACGCUACAGUUUAGAGGCAAUUCAGAAGCAAUUCAAUCAACUUAUCUCUUUAAACACACUCCUACAC